GAAGGAUCAUCACCGAUCUUCAUACCAAAAACAAAAAAGUGCGAGAAUUCCACUCGCUACUUACACUGUGAACCUGUACCUGACCGUGGGGGUCGAAGCCUGGGCUCCGUUAAAUGGGUGGAUGAUGUUUCGUUCAUUGCCCGGCCCCCCGUUUGUUUUCUUUUUACACUUUUCUGUUUUUGUCGUUUUGACUUUGUCACAAUAUCCAAACUCAAAAGACAACUUUUAACGGUGGAUCUCUAGGCUCGUGCAUCGAUGAAGAACGCAGCCAGCUGCGAUAAGUAGUGUGAAUUGCAGAAUUCAGUGAAUCAUCGAAUCUUUGAACGCAAAUGGCGCUCUUGGUCAUACCGGGAGCAUGUCUGUCUGAGUGUUGGUUUUAAAAACGAGAAUCGUGCUUUUCCGAGCACGGCGUUGGGAUGUCAUGGCCGUGCUGCCGUGUUUCCCGAAAUGCAGUGGGAAUCGAGAGUCACGAGCGAUUCACGAAGCCAAAAUUUACUCGACUUCGUGCUCGCUGCCGACCUCGGUGAUCCCCCAUCACGUGUUGCACUUCUUUACACUCUUGACCUCAGAUCAGGCAAGAUUACCCGCUGAAUUUAAGCAUAUUACUAAGCGGAGGAAGAGAAACUAACAAGGAUUUCCCCAGUAAUGGCGAAUGAAGAGGAAACAGCUCAAAUUUGAAAUCUCCG
RNAcentral lists this ribosomal RNA (686 nucleotides) under Nanipora kamurai. RNAcentral describes it as "eukaryotic LSU rRNA". The stretch from base 221 to 373 matches the Rfam family "5.8S ribosomal RNA". Lineage: Eukaryota; Metazoa; Cnidaria; Anthozoa; Scleralcyonacea; Helioporidae. The record is from RNAcentral.